AAUGAACGCUGGCGGCAGGCUUAACACAUGCAAGUCGAGCGCGAACGCACCUUCGGGUGUUAUUAGAGCGGCAAACGGGUGAGUAACACGUGGGAAUAUACCUUUCAGUUUGGAAUAGCCUUUGGAAACGAAGAUUAAUGCCGAAUACGCUCUACGGAGGAAAGAUUUAUCGCUGAAAGAUUAGCCCGCGCAACAUUAGCUAGUUGGUAAGGUAAUGGCUUACCAAGGCUACGAUGUUUAGUUGGUCUGAGAGGAUGAUCAGCCACACUGGGACUGAGAUACGGCCCAGACUCCUACGGGAGGCAGCAGUGAGGAAUAUUGCACAAUGGAGGAAACUCUGAUGCAGCCAUGCCGCGUGUGUGAUGAAGGCCUUAGGGUUGUAAAACACUUUAAGCAGGGAAGAUAAUGACGGUACCUGCAGAAUAAGCCCCGGCUAACUCCG
RNAcentral lists this ribosomal RNA (442 nucleotides) under uncultured Rickettsiaceae bacterium. Its description in RNAcentral is "bacterial SSU rRNA". It matches the Rfam family "Bacterial small subunit ribosomal RNA", at positions 29 to 505 of the family's 1533-position model. Lineage: Bacteria; Pseudomonadati; Pseudomonadota; Alphaproteobacteria; Rickettsiales; Rickettsiaceae. The record is from RNAcentral.